RNAcentral lists this ribosomal RNA (492 nucleotides) under uncultured bacterium. RNAcentral describes it as "partial 16S ribosomal RNA". It matches the Rfam family "Bacterial small subunit ribosomal RNA", at positions 29 to 507 of the family's 1533-position model. The record is from RNAcentral.
AGUGAACGCUGGCGGUAGGCCUAACACAUGCAAGUCGGACGGCAGCACAGUAAGAGCUUGCUCUUACGGGUGGCGAGUGGCGGACGGGUGAGGAAUACAUCGGAAUCUACUUUUUCGUGGGGGAUAACGUAGGGAAACUUACGCUAAUACCGCAUACGACCUACGGGUGAAAGCAGGGGAUCUUCGGACCUUGCGCGAUUGAAUGAGCCGAUGUCGGAUUAGCUAGUUGGCGGGGUAAAGGCCCACCAAGGCGACGAUCCGUAGCUGGUCUGAGAGGAUGAUCAGCCACACUGGAACUGAGACACGGUCCAGACUCCUACGGGAGGCAGCAGUGGGGAAUAUUGGACAAAGGGCGCAAGCCUGAUCCAGCCAUACCGCGUGGGUGAAGAAGGCCUUCGGGUUGUAAAGCCCUUUUGCUGGGAAAGAAAAGCAGCAGGUUAAUACCCCGCUGUUCUGACGGUACCCAAAGAAUAAGCACCGGCUAACUUCGUG